GGUUAGGGCUCAGUGGUAGAGCACUUGCCUAGCAUGCAUGAGGCACUGGGUUUGAUCCUCAGCACUA
This 67-nucleotide transfer RNA is filed under the name Marmota monax (woodchuck). Its description in RNAcentral is "tRNA.Ala". The stretch from base 7 to 62 matches the Rfam family "tRNA", at positions 9 to 63 of the family's 71-position model. Rfam says of the family: Transfer RNA (tRNA) molecules are approximately 80 nucleotides in length. Their secondary structure includes four short double-helical elements and three loops (D, anti-codon, and T loops). The record is from RNAcentral. Lineage: Eukaryota; Metazoa; Chordata; Mammalia; Rodentia; Sciuridae.